CGAUGAUGAAGAUGCAAAGGAAGAGCUCUACUCUCUUGUCACUGUUGCAGAAACUCCAUCUGAAGGACUAAAGGGCCUGGGCACAAAGAUCAUUGAAGAUGAGGACUAAUCCUUCUAUUUGUGUGAAAAAUAUUUCCCAUCACAGGCUAUAGGUUAAAUGGGAGUUCUUUUUUGCAAAUGUUGAGUGUUUUCUGACGGAUGAAAUUAUCUUAGUAGAAAAAGAAAGA
This 227-nucleotide unclassified non-coding RNA is filed under the name Hevea brasiliensis (rubber tree). Lineage: Eukaryota; Viridiplantae; Streptophyta; Magnoliopsida; Malpighiales; Euphorbiaceae. The record is from RNAcentral.